AACGAACGCUGGCGGCAUGCCUAACACAUGCAAGUCGAACGAGACCUUCGGGUCUAGUGGCGCACGGGUGCGUAACGCGUGGGAACCUGCCCUUAGGUUCGGAAUAACUCCCCGAAAGGGGUGCUAAUACCGGAUAAUGUCUUCGGACCAAAGAUUUAUCGCCUUUGGAUGGGCCCGCGUUGGAUUAGCUAGUUGGUAGGGUAAAAGCCUACCAAGGCGACGAUCCAUAGCUGGUCUGAGAGGAUGAUCAGCCACACUGGGACUGAGACACGGCCCAGACUGGAGAGGGGGAAAGGGGGGGGGAAGAGCGACAAAAGGGCGAAAGGGGGAGGAAGGGGUGGGGAGUGAGGGAUGAGGGGCAUAGGGUGGUAAAGAUUUUGGCGGGGGUAUGAAAAGGACAGGGCGGGGAGAAUAAUCUCUGGGCAAGUAAGGAAAGGAAGGAGGGGGAAGAGGAAGAGCCGCCGACCGCCC
Molecule: ribosomal RNA, 471 nt
Filed under: uncultured bacterium
Lineage: Bacteria
Description: partial 16S ribosomal RNA
Rfam family: Bacterial small subunit ribosomal RNA (bases 20-302)
Source: RNAcentral